ACGCUCGACACCUACGUGAGGCAGCAGUGGGGGAAUAUUGCACAAUGGGGGAAACCCUGAUGCAGCGACGCCGCGUGAGUGAAGAAGUAUUUCGGUAUGUAAAGCUCUAUCAGCAGGGAAGAAGAUGACGGUACCUGAGUAAGAAGCCCCGGCUAACUACGUGCCUGCAGGCCGCGGUAAUCUGAGGCGGGCUGGACAAGGC
This 202-nucleotide ribosomal RNA is filed under the name uncultured bacterium. RNAcentral's name for it is "partial 16S ribosomal RNA". It matches the Rfam family "Bacterial small subunit ribosomal RNA", at positions 328 to 538 of the family's 1533-position model. The record is from RNAcentral.